This 2295-nucleotide long non-coding RNA is filed under the name Nicotiana tabacum (common tobacco). RNAcentral's name for it is "long non-coding RNA (NTAB_LNC000778)". Lineage: Eukaryota; Viridiplantae; Streptophyta; Magnoliopsida; Solanales; Solanaceae. The record is from RNAcentral.
GAAUGAUCUAUAAGGUCCAAAGGUCCAUGAAAUUCAACUGAUCAUAACUAGCCAAAGUCACGCCUUAGUUUAUUUUGAAACUUCAUAGAGAAUGAAAACUAUAAAGUCCGCAUCUUCAACAGAAAAUCAAAACUUCAUUGCAAAAGUAAAUGAAGAGCAGAUAGUAGAUUGGUACUUCUCUUCAGUAUGUCAAUACCAAAGAAAGGACCUGCCUGCUACUGACAGAUUAUGCUAUACAUAUGAGAAAAUAAAAUUACCUUCUGUAUAAAAAUCUUCCUACUUCAAUUCUUCAUUUUGGUUCUAUACAAAUACUCUCAACCAACAAAUAUACUUACGGAACAAAAUAAAUAGACAAACUUAUAUCUUAGUGUUUAUCAAACGAAUUAGACUAACAAAUAGACUAGGCAUAAAUAAGCACAUCAAAGAACUCAAAUGAUGUCAAAUUAGGAAGUAAAUUAUGUGCAUCAACUUUAGACUAGUCAGUACUAUACAGAGCAGUGCCCAAAGAUCCAAUUUCCUUGUUGGAGAUUAUCAUCCUGCGCUUCUUAAGCAAAUGGAAAGAUCGAGAAGCAAAUGAGUUUGCUCACAAGACUCGAGGUUACCAAUUAUUUGAAACAGAAAUCAGAACAUAUUGUCUGCGAUAUUUGUAUAGCACUCAAUCAAGAGAUGAAUUAAAAGAGGGACAGCAAAGCUUAACAAGAAAGCAUGGUACUAAACAGUCACACAUAUUAGCUUACUUCUUUUAUCAAUCAAGCACAUGAACUGCUGCACAGAUAGAUAUGCCUAGCAGGAAUUUGAUAAUCACAACACUUAAGGUCAAUUGGAAGCCUGAUUCACGAAUUUCAAACUAUUCACACACAAAAUCUGAUUUGGCGCGUACAUGGUCAAGAUGAUCCUAACACUUCAAGCAGAUUUCUCGUUUGAGAAACAAGUGGAAUCAGUAAAGACAACUCCAACUGGAUUCAGCUAUUCUAUUCCAAACUCGGCUCGCAAACAUUAAAACAUUGAUAGCAGGAUUCAAAAGGCUCUAGGCUAAAACUGAGAGUAAAUGACUUUAAAAGAGUCCAAAUUUCCACCUAACAUAUGCAAUUUGAACAGAGACCAAACGAGCCCUCAAUUUACUGGAAAUCCAUGUCAAAAACCAAAGAACUUCAUGAAAGAAUCUGAUGAACCAAGUCGAUGGUUCAAAACACUUAUCUUUUUACUUAAACCAUUAAAAACUAAUACCAGUAAGAGCAAAACAAAUACUGCAGCCAAAUGACAGACAUACAACCAUGAACUGGAGGAUUCACAUUUCAAGUUUUCAACACAAUUUCAUGAACACCAUAUUCCGAAGGGAUUAAUAAAACGGACGAUUCAACGUUUAAAGUUACAUUCAAUCCUUCAGGAAAAUGACACAUGAAUACAAUCAAAGCCACAAAAACCACGGCUCAUUGCGUGUUCAACCAAUCAUCAAAAUAACUAAGAAAGAGCCAAGAAAUGAACCUGAAGUUGUGAAACUCUUCGCUUAAACCCAGCAAAGUCCAGCAAUGGAUAUUCGAAGCAACAACAGAGGACAAAAAAAAAUCAAAUCAGUGACCCAACUUCAAAUGUCGAACUUGAUUUUCGGCUUAAUCAAUUUCCAUGUUGAAACCAAAAUUCAAAAAUCAAACUGAAGAUGACUGAACUACCUAUAUAUUUUAUUUCUUUUUCUGAUUCUGAAAUUUAAAGAAACGAAAUUAAACAAAAUGGAAAAUCCAAAAAAACGAGAAACAGAGGUUCAAAAGAAGACCCUCUUGAAAUUUCCUAUGUCUCGAGCAAUUUUUUUCUGAAAAAUUCUCCGAAAGCUCUCUCCGAAAAUCCUCUCCAAAAAAUCCCCCUUACACAAGAAAUGACCUCACCUUAUAUAUACCUCCAGGCUUCUCGAACCUUCUCCCUUUAUCUCCAAGAAAUCCCCAAAACGAAAAUCCUCCUCCUAAAACAGAUUUCUCACCCCGUUUUUUAUGAAAGAGGGACAAAUGGAGGGAGUAGAUUAGUUCAAAUCCAAUCUAACGCUCCCUAUUUUUCCUUAUUUUCAUUUGGAGGGUGAAAAAUCUGAGAUUAAUCAAAGAAGCAUGUGAGGGAAAAGGGAAUCUGUCAGAAACGGUUAGAAAUAUGGUGACAGGGAGAGAGGGGGAACGUGUGAGGUGAGAUUGGGGCUCACUCGCCUGAAUUUUGGCAAUUGUUUGGGAGUGGAUUCGGGUGUUUUGGAGAAGAAGAACAGUAACGCGUCUCUGAAUCUUGGGAGAUUAGGGCUGUCCGUUUAUUGUGUGCUUA